Molecule: long non-coding RNA, 1641 nt
Organism: Vidua chalybeata
Lineage: Eukaryota; Metazoa; Chordata; Aves; Passeriformes; Viduidae
Exons: 2
Source: RefSeq, a predicted model, not a curated record
UAAUCAGCUCCGGCCAUCCCCCGACAUCCUUAGCCUGUGUCUGCAAAAAAGCUACGAAAAGCUCCCUAUAUGCGCCGCGCCCUUCCCGGGGAAUCCCAGUUGGCCUCAGAUCCACAACUCCGUCAGCAGGACCUCAGAGAGGGGUGCUGAAAAUUGGGGUUAAAUUAUGAUGGGCUAUUUACGCCUUCGGGGUGCGCUGUAGGGCAGCCGCAUCGAAAUGAGAGCAGCCGAGGUGGUGCCGAGCCGCGCACCAAAAGUUUCCGUGAGGAUCGCCGGGGUGUUCCCUCAGACUCCAGCUCAUACAAGCAUGUAGCUCGGAGGAAAAGUAACCCGGAGAUCGGCGAUGAGCUUGAUUAUCGUAUAAAAAUUCGUAAUGGGGAACUGUCUUGUCUGUUGACCUCAGUAUUUCGGCUAAAGUCCUGCAUGGUGUAAGAGCUGUGAAAAAGCCCCGGUUUUGCACGCAUUCUAACCAUAAAGAAUGCUGUUAUUCGAGCCUCGGUCACUCUUAUUGUCACUGUGUCUCUGCCACUGUCAUUGAGGGAUCUAAUGUCUCAGUGAUGACAUUACCUGACUGAUGUUUCCUGUUUAUUUCUUUUUAAAUGACAAUACCAAGCACUCGCAAAACAUUUUGCACUUUACAGCAAUAUCGAGCAUUAACUAAUGAGCCUGCUCACACCCAGAUGAGCUAUAUGAUACCAUUAUUACAUGCAGGUGGUCAGAGUGACUUCCUCAGGGGUAUUGUGAGUCAGUGCCAGAGGUAGCAUUAUGCUCCUGGUCCUAUUUCGCAUUCAUUCCAGCAGACUGUAGAGCUUUACACACCUGGAAGGUUUGCAAAACCAUUAUGAAUUAUUUAUUGAUUCAUUUUGAUAGUUUCAUUGAUUAAUGCAUCAAUUUAUUUCAUGUAAAAGGCUUCAGCUGUGAAAUUCAGUCUCUUAUUCAUUCACUAGAUCCUAAAAUUGUCAGUUUUCAAAACUUGUAUUUGCAAUCCUGUGAUGUGCUGAGUGCCCACCCUUUUCAAUUAGUACAGAAAAAUAUUCUCAUAAUCUGUUUUGGUGGAAGGAAAGGGAUAUUUUGGUGUGACUCUGUCAACUUUCAUUCUGCAUCUUGACCUUGUGUUGAACCAUUUUUUUCUUUAUGCUGAAAGGAGUGAGAAGGAACUCUUUACAAACAAACUAUGGGCCAGAUUUGGAGAAGUGAAAGAAGCAGUGGGGGGGAACCAUGAAUUCCAUAGGAAUUGCACUAAUUGACACAGACUGUUACUCGCUGAAGACUGUCCUACAUGUCUGGAUUUAGAGAAAAAGAAGAGAGAGACAAGGAAAAAGAAAAAUGAGGGGGGUAUACAUUAGAAGGGGUAUAAUGCAUUUCGGGAAGUCUGUACCUCUCAAGUACCUCAGCCAAUGGGGAGAGAGAGAGGGAAAUGUGGCCAGGAAAUUAGGAUUAAAAGGAGGCUGCAUCCCCUAAAAAGUUUGAGUGACCCCAUGGGGAAUGACCUCUCCCUUUAUUCAAAUAAAGUUACAGGACUCCUCUGUCUCCUUUUUGGACAUAAACCUCUGAUGUUUGUGGCUUAAUUUUCCUGAUAACACCUUUGUUCAUGGAUCCUUUGUAAAGUCAAAUUUAACCAAUAAACUUAUUGAGGUCUUA